RNAcentral lists this ribosomal RNA (652 nucleotides) under Ligilactobacillus salivarius. RNAcentral describes it as "bacterial SSU rRNA". It matches the Rfam family "Bacterial small subunit ribosomal RNA", at positions 44 to 665 of the family's 1533-position model. The record is from RNAcentral. Lineage: Bacteria; Bacillati; Bacillota; Bacilli; Lactobacillales; Lactobacillaceae.
GUGCCUAAUACAUGCAAGUCGAACGAAACUUUCUUACACCGAAUGCUUGCAUUCACCGUAAGAAGUUGAGUGGCGGACGGGUGAGUAACACGUGGGUAACCUGCCUAAAAGAAGGGGAUAACACUUGGAAACAGGUGCUAAUACCGUAUAUCUCUAAGGAUCGCAUGAUCCUUAGAUGAAAGAUGGUUCUGCUAUCGCUUUUAGAUGGACCCGCGGCGUAUUAACUAGUUGGUGGGGUAACGGCCUACCAAGGUGAUGAUACGUAGCCGAACUGAGAGGUUGAUCGGCCACAUUGGGACUGAGACACGGCCCAAACUCCUACGGGAGGCAGCAGUAGGGAAUCUUCCACAAUGGACGCAAGUCUGAUGGAGCAACGCCGCGUGAGUGAAGAAGGUCUUCGGAUCGUAAAACUCUGUUGUUAGAGAAGAACACGAGUGAGAGUAACUGUUCAUUCGAUGACGGUAUCUAACCAGCAAGUCACGGCUAACUACGUGCCAGCAGCCGCGGUAAUACGUAGGUGGCAAGCGUUGUCCGGAUUUAUUGGGCGUAAAGGGAACGCAGGCGGUCUUUUAAGUCUGAUGUGAAAGCCUUCGGCUUAACCGGAGUAGUGCAUUGGAAACUGGAAGACUUGAGUGCAGAAGAGGAGAGUGGA